UCAUUAACAGAUGGUACAAGUGACUAGUACAUGGUAUUUUAAUAAUUUUUUGUUCCCAAAAUGUCCUUGUCCCCUUCCUUUGAGUGAUUUCAUCUUUCCGAACUCAGAAAGAGCUUAAGCUUGUUUGUGAAUUUGCACAAAUCCAUAACAUUGGAAAAAUAACCGAAUGAAACAUGACAAGAGUACAACACAAAAGAUAGAUUCUUCCUUGUCGGCUUAUAGUUAUAGAGGCCCCAAACCAAAACGCAACUCCCUUGCAGAUUGGGUCUCAACGAAAAUCGCACUCUCUCAAUCUUCUUCCUCCUACAGCAAACAACCCAAAAACCAAGCAAAAAAAUUGAGACCUAACAUCGAAAGCCCCUAAAACAGAAAACGCGAUUCAUAUUUUUCAUUGUCGACAAAGCAAAAGAGGCUGGUUUUCUUUCUUCAUUGUCGGCAAAGUAGAAGAGCUUGGGGGAUUCGAAUUUGAAUCUGAAGUCAGAACCGCGAUUCGGGGAUUGUGGACAUCAACUAUGAAUUUGAACCAGUUGCCGUUGGAAUCAAAUAAGGAUUCGAGAUUUAUACGUGGUUGAGGGGUGGUUGCAACCAUUAUUGAUGGCAUUGAAAGAAUAGAUCUAUGUGAAAAUGAGAUGGAG
RNAcentral lists this long non-coding RNA (635 nucleotides) under Glycine max (soybean). Its description in RNAcentral is "long non-coding RNA (GMAX_LNC001478)". The record is from RNAcentral. Lineage: Eukaryota; Viridiplantae; Streptophyta; Magnoliopsida; Fabales; Fabaceae.